AUGACCUGGCGGCAGCUUACACAUGCAAGUCGAACGGUAACGGGGAGGGAGCUUGCUUUCUCUGCCGACGAGUGGCGGACGGGUGAGUAAAGCUUGGGAAUCUGGCUUAUGGAGGGGGAUAACGACGGGAAACUGUCGCUAAUAUCGCGUAGAAUCGGGAGAUUAAAGUGCGGGACCGUAAGGCCGCAUGCCAUAGGAUGAGCCCAAGUGGGAUUAGGUAGUUGGUGGGGUAAAGGCCUACCAAGCCUGCGAUCUCUAGCUGGUCUGAGAGGAUGACCAGCCACACCGGGACUGAGACACGGCCCGGACUCCUACGGGAGGCAGCAGUGGGGAAUAUUGCGCAAUGGGGGCAACCCUGACGCAGCCAAGCCGCGUGAAUGAAGAAGGCCUUCGGGUUGUAAAGUUCUUUCGGUGAUGAGGAAGGCGGUUAGUUUAAUAGGCUAAUCGAUUGACGUUAGUCACAGAAGAAGCACCGGCUAACUCCGCGCCAGCAGCCGCGGUAAU
RNAcentral lists this ribosomal RNA (504 nucleotides) under uncultured bacterium. RNAcentral's name for it is "bacterial SSU rRNA". It matches the Rfam family "Bacterial small subunit ribosomal RNA", at positions 36 to 524 of the family's 1533-position model. The record is from RNAcentral.